GGUGCUGGAUAUACACACUCCAUGAAAGCAGUUGUCCCAGGUGCUGGAUAUACACACUCCAUGAAAGCAGUUGUCCCAGGUGCUGGAUGAAGCUGUUCUACAUUGUUUUACGCCUUGAGCCACACAAUGCCUUGUGUUGUGACAGAGUGAGUCAGUUCAACUGUCUCAAUCUACUAUACAGCUAAGGUCAGAGUUCGGGGGGACAACACUAGACACAAAGAGCUGCAAUAAUUAUACUGCAGCAACUCCCAAACAUUAUUAUUUAUUUGACCAGGAAGGGCUCAUUGAGAUUUGAAAUCUCUUUUUCAAGAGCGUCCUGGCAAAGAUGAGCAGCACCAAGUCAUUACACCAUAACAGACAAACUACAAGUAAUCUAGUAAAAACCACAGGGAUAUAACAAAAUCAUAAAACAACAAAGGCAUUCCAAGGCGAUGGCGCAGAGUACAUAAAAGCCCUUUUACCAAAUUCAGUUUGGACAUUUGGAACAGUUAGCAGGAUUAAGUCCUGCGAACGAAGAGAGUACCCACCACAUUUCUGGGGAAAAAAUGCCCAAAUAAAAUGGUAAUAAACAUUACUUUACCAAUGCAACUACAUUGACUUUGUUGUCAACAUCUUCAGCACAAUGUCCACAUUUGACCUUAUAUAUCCAGGUUGUUGAGGAUGCUACCUUGUUAAGACUUUAACUUCCAACAUAUGGUGAACCUAUAUGACAACAUUAUUUCUAAAGUUAUUACACUAAGAUCAUUUAUUGUGUAUAAUAAUUAAUUUGUGGCAUUUUAUAAAAUGUUCUGACCUGCAAACAAAUCAAAGUGAUUGACAGUACCUUUAUAUGCAGAUUGCAGCGCCUAUUCAAUUUUAUUAAGCUAAUAGAUCCAGGCAUGCAAUCUGAUCUAUUUAAUUCACUGUAUGCAAACUACUGGGUUGCACUUGGCUUUUCUCAGUGAAUAUCCUUCAAGUCACACCAACUGAAAUGUAAUUGAAAGAUUCAUAGGUCAAGUCAAUUAUGCAUUGUAUUGCUGAAGGAAAUGCAGUAUUUUCUCAGCUGAGAAACAGGGUCAGUGCUCACACUCGUUCAAUCUCCAGGGUAUUCUUCAUCUAUUUCCUCCUUUUUCCACGCAGUAUUGAAAUGUUCAGCUACAUGUACUGGGUUUUAAUUGUUCACAGUUUACUGCUCAGUCAAUCUGUCAACUUGAGAUGUUUUGUGCAUAUUAUGUUAUUUUUAUUCUUGAAUGGACUUGCCUCGUGUUUUAUUUCCUCCAUUUGUCUUUGUUCAAUAUUUUUUUUUACAUUUUGUUCAGUAACAUUUUCAACAAACUCCACACACAUUGCUUUGCUGUGGGCAUUGAAGUGAUAUUUCAUUUCAAUAAAAUAAAAGAGAAAUUAUUGAUUUUAGUUGUAGGGUUAAACUACAUUUAUUCACUGACUUGGAUGAAUUAAUACUAUAUCAGUGUUGAACAUUGUCCCAAAUACUGUAUAUCCCAGUUUCACUCCACAACACUCUUAUCCAAAGCAACUUACAGGAGCAAUUAGGGUUAAGUGCCUUGCAUAAGUGAACAUCGACAGAUUUUUCUCCUAGUCAGCUCAGGGAUUUGAACUAGUGGCCUUGUGGUUACUGGCCUAACACUCUUAACCACUAGGCUACCUGCACCGGCUACAGUACUGUACACCAGACAAUAACUACUAUGGCUCCUCAUGACCAACAUGUACCUUAUGGAUCCCCCUCCCUUUGGCGCUCUCAUACUAAUGUCCCCCAUCCUGUCUCAUUCUACUUGCCUGUCUGUCUGUUCGAGAGUCUUAACCAGGCUCUGUUCACUCCAACAACCACUGACUGUUUUGGAUCAUAGUACAGUAUGGCAUUUUGUAACUACUGUAGUCUCAAUAUUAAGUUAAAGGAUUUUCUCUCAACAAGGGUUCUAUAGGUCUUAACAGUUGGUGCUAAAGUGUGUGGUUUAGCACCAUCUAAUAUUCAACACUGUUUCUGGAUGUACCCAUUUGCACCCAUGCAGUUAGAUUGUAAACUGAGUUACCUGUAGUGAUUUCACUCCUAGUUGGUCUGAUUGGCUUCAUUCACAACACUGUGCUGUACCAUACUGUACCGGAAAAGAGUGUCUGUUAAAUGACAACAAUGUACAAUGUACUGUAUGCCUCCACCUGCUGGUUCUGCAACUCCCAUGCACAUCUCUCAGAUUUAGUGAGAGAUGUUUUCCCUUUGUUUUUGACUGUUGUCUUGUUUUAUUGUGAAGAUCAUACUUUGUGUUGGCUGGACCAACCAUGUUUAAUGUGUUUGACUUGUUGCAUGUUUCAUUCAUGUUCACUACUGUUCUAAAGUUUGGGGUCACUUCGAAAUGUCCUUGUUUUUCAAAGAAAAGCACAUUUUUCAGAAAUACAGUGUAGACAUUAUUAAUGUUGUAAAUGACUAUUGUAGCUGGAAACGACUAUUUUUUGUUAUGGAAUAUCUACAUAAGUGUACAGAGGCCCAUUAUCAGCAUCCAUCACUCCUGUGUUCCAGUGGCACGUUGUGUUAGUUGAUCCAAGUUGGUCCUUUUAAAAGGCAGAGUUGCAAAGAAAAAGCCAUAUCUCAGACUGGCCAAUAAAAGAUUGAGAUGGGCAAAAGAACACAGACACUGGACAGAGGAACUCUGCCUAGAAGGCCAGCAUCCCAGUCGCCUCUUCACUGUUGACGUUGAGACUGGUGUUUUGCGGGUACUAUUUAAUGAAGCUGCCAGUUGAGGACUUGUGAGGAGUCUGUUUCUCUAACUAGACACAAAUGUACUUGUUCUCUUGCUCAUUUGUGCACCGGGGCCUCCCACUCCUCUUUCUAUUCUGAUUAGAGCCAGUUUGCGCUGUUCUGUGAAGGGUGUAGUACACAGCGUUGUAUGAGAUCUUCAGUAUCUUGGAAAUUUCUCACAUGGAAUAGCCUUCAUUUCUCAGAACAAGAAUAGACUGAUGAGUUUCAGAAGAAAGUUCUUUGUUUCUGGCCAUUUAGAGCCUAUAAUCAAAGCCACAAAUGCUGAAGCUCCAGAUACUCAACUAGUCUAAAGAAGGCCAGUUUUAUUGCUUUUUUAAUCAGCACAACAGCUUUCAGCUGUGCUAACAUAACUGCAAAAAUGUUUUUCUAAUGAUCAAUUAGCCUUUUAAAAUGAUAAACUUGGAUAAGCUAACACAAUGUGCCACUGGAACACAGGAGUGAUGGUUGCUGAAAAUGGGCCUCUGUACUCCUAUGUAGAUAUUCCAUUUUAAAAUCUGACGUUUCCAGCUACAAGAGUCAUUUACAACAUUAACCAUGUCUACACUGUAUUUCUGAUCAAUUUGAUGUUAUUUUAAUGGUCGAUAAAAUGUGCUUUUCUUUCAAAAAGGACAUAUCUAAGUGACCCAAAACUUUUGAACAGUAGUGCAAGGCUGUGUGUGGUUUGUUUUCCAUUUGUGUUGUGCAUGCUGUUCCAAAAGAAACGCUUUUAAAAAACAAUGAAACCCAAGUUGCAUGUGUCCUAAGUUACUUAAUACUGUGGUAUUCUAUCGCCAUGAGUAUAACAUGCAACUGAUUAAGAAGCAAAACAUAUUUCAUUCUCACAUAACAUCUGCUUAUCAUUCUAAUUUUCCCCUGAAAGUAUUUUGUAAAAAUGAUAAUUACGUAUUUUGCAGAGCACACAAUUCCUCUGUAUAUGCUGUUUAUUUCUUAAUACAGUUAUCUUAGCAGUGCUGUUUCAUCCAGG
Oncorhynchus tshawytscha (Chinook salmon) is the source of this 3713-nucleotide long non-coding RNA. The record is from Ensembl. Lineage: Eukaryota; Metazoa; Chordata; Actinopteri; Salmoniformes; Salmonidae.